GAGGGUAUAGCUCAGGGGUAGAAUGCGUUCUUUGCAUGCAUGAGGUCCUAGGUUCAAUCCCCAGUACCUCCA
Molecule: transfer RNA, 72 nt
Filed under: Camelus bactrianus (Bactrian camel)
Lineage: Eukaryota; Metazoa; Chordata; Mammalia; Artiodactyla; Camelidae
Also listed under: 1 other name
Rfam family: tRNA
About the family: Transfer RNA (tRNA) molecules are approximately 80 nucleotides in length.
Source: Rfam by way of RNAcentral